GCGCGUGUAGCUCAGUGGUAGAGCGCGUCGCUGAUAACGACGAGGUCCUUGGUCCGAUUCCAAGUACGCGCA
RNAcentral lists this transfer RNA (72 nucleotides) under bacterium. RNAcentral describes it as "tRNA-Ile". It matches the Rfam family "tRNA". Rfam says of the family: Transfer RNA (tRNA) molecules are approximately 80 nucleotides in length. RNAcentral also lists the same sequence under 1 other name. The record is from RNAcentral.